RNAcentral lists this ribosomal RNA (86 nucleotides) under Marinobacter oulmenensis. Lineage: Bacteria; Pseudomonadati; Pseudomonadota; Gammaproteobacteria; Pseudomonadales; Marinobacteraceae. The record is from RNAcentral.
UGAUCCCAUCCCGAACUCAGAAGUGAAACAGAUCUGCGCCGAUGGUAGUGUGGCAUGGCCCAUGCGAGAGUAGGUCAUCGUCAGGC